CUGGCUUCGCAGCUGUACUUACUUUUUGAGGAAAGCUGACAGAGCCCUGACAAACUCCUGCUGGUUGACAUCUUUCACCGUGACACUGGGCAUCUACAAAUCGGAGACAAGGGGUGUGAGCUGUUCCCGCCGGAUCCCAGCAGAGGGUGGUGUUGUGUGGAGGGUAGUGUUCCCACAUCUCUGGCCCAUUUCUCUGUUUUUAUCAGACCCAAAGGCUUUUUCAAGAAGUGUGCUGCAGUCAGCAGGCGAGGACCUCAGAGAGGAAGACACCACCGAUGCAGAGUUAGUAACACCUUAGUUUCUUUCUAUUUUCUUUUUUUUUUAACCAGCCAGGAACAUUUCUACUGCAAAUACAGCCAGCCGUGUUGUGUUUCAUCUCAUCUUAGCCUGAUACAGAGGAUGUAUAAAAGAGCUUAUGGUCUCAAAUAAAUUCAGAAAUCAAUCUAAAAACAUUAUGACCAUGACCAGAACGGUUUUCUUUCUUUCAUCCGUGUGUUCAAUAUCUCAUCUUUUUAGGUUCAGGUCGUGCAGGUUUGCUGCCCUUGAAAAACAAAGCAGUACGCAGUGACUGCUGUCCGUUUUUUUAAUUGAACAAAACUCUCAUUCCCAGCACACGUCUAGUUAAGGCUUUAGACGGCAUACAGAGAAACCCUUCCUAACCAAGGUGAUUAGUUUUUCAUCACAUUUCUCUCUCGUCCCCCCCGUGAACUGCCUUCGUUCUCCUCUGUCCUCACCUCUCUGCCUUUAACGCCUGGCUUCAUAUUAGUUAAAGUAAUUGCAUUAUCUCAAAGCUUCAUUCCUGUCACCCUUUACCUACCUCUGCAGGCGACCUGUGAACUGAAUUGAAAUUCAGCGUGAGCAGAAAAAAUUGUGUAAAAAAUUUGCAACUCCAUUUCCAAAGGCACUAAAGCACCUGUCUCGAGGCAGAUGACAUAAAAUGCUCUAUAACAUAAUAAUAAUUGCAUAUAAUGGACCACAUUUUUCUUACUUAUUUAAGACUUGUGGCCAAUAAACCUGCAGAGUAGCUGUUCUUUAUUGAUGCAAACAUUGUGACCAGCAAGUUUGAUAAUUGAGCUCGAAUGCACUAACCAACUGAUCAGCAUCUCAGCAUUAUAAAACCAGUUAUCUACAAAUCUGAGUGCACGUGUCAUGCUGCAGGCUUGCACUGAAGUUUGAUAUAACUGUGACAGGAAGACGUGUUUAGAGCUGAAAUUCGAUAAGUAAUUGACGAGCCAGUUGACAUAAAAUAGAAACCACUCAUUGUGUAAGUUGUGUAUUUUUAAUUUGACCAAACAUUUGCUUGUAACAGCUUGAUGUGAGGAUUUGCAGCUCAUUCGCUGCAAAUUGAAUCCCUUUGGGUUUUUGCUCGUCGUUUCAAAAGGAGCCAGAUUGACGGCAUUACUUUAUUUGGCUCUGGUAGCUUAAGAUAAGACUUUUUUUAUGAGAAUGAUAGUGGGAUUAAUUAAUAACCAAUCAUUCCUUAUAGCUCUUGAUUAUAUUGUAUGUUGUCUCUAAAGCAUUGCUUAUUUUUUUUAGCAGUGUGUAGUGUGGUUUGACACUAUAAACUGCUGAAAAUACAGAAAAAGCUGCUGUUUUAAUUCUUUCUUUCCUUGACCCCAAAAAGUCAUGUAUUUCUUUUCUGGUAUGUAGGCUAACAUCGUAUGCGGAUUACCACCAGUGUGUCGUGUGUAACGCUGCAUCUAAAGCCAAGAUUGAACCUCUGAGACAACCUGAACUUUGUCAUUGAAGACGUGAUUUUUAUCAGGAAUGCCAUGGUCAACCAUAGAGGCUCUCCAGUGAGAAGAGAGCCAUGGGAAAAACCUCAAACUAGAUCCCACUUGUGAGGAUGUGGUCCAAGCCAUUUUGUUCAGACGUGUCAAGACGAAACAUUUCUGCAUCAGCGUCGAUAAAAAACGGUAACCAUCCAA
Larimichthys crocea (large yellow croaker) is the source of this 1928-nucleotide long non-coding RNA. RefSeq lists it as uncharacterized. The record is from RefSeq and is a predicted model, not a curated record. NCBI's taxonomy places the organism in Eukaryota, Metazoa, Chordata, Actinopteri, Sciaenidae. The transcript is spliced from 5 exons.